UACGAAGGGGGCUAGCGUUGCUCGGAAUCACUGGGCGUAAAGCGCACGUAGGCGGAUUGUUAAGUCAGGGGUGAAAUCCUGGAGCUCAACUCCAGAACUGCCUUCGAUACUGGCGAUCUUGAGUCCGGAAGAGGUGAGUGGAACUCCUAGUGUAGAGGUGGAAUUCGUAGAUAUUAGGAAGAACACCAGUGGCGAAGGCGGCUCACUGGUCCGGUACUGACGCUGAGGUGCGAAAGCGUGGGGAGCAAACAGG
RNAcentral lists this ribosomal RNA (253 nucleotides) under uncultured bacterium. Its description in RNAcentral is "partial 16S ribosomal RNA". It matches the Rfam family "Bacterial small subunit ribosomal RNA", at positions 524 to 776 of the family's 1533-position model. The record is from RNAcentral.